Molecule: ribosomal RNA, 774 nt
Filed under: uncultured Neocallimastigales
Lineage: Eukaryota; Fungi; Neocallimastigomycota; Neocallimastigomycetes; Neocallimastigales
Description: partial large subunit ribosomal RNA
Rfam family: Eukaryotic large subunit ribosomal RNA
Source: RNAcentral
AUAUCAGUCAUGCAUAGCAUAUCAAUAAGCGGAGGAAAAGAAACUAACAAGGAUUCCCUUAGUAACGGCGAGUGAAGCGGGAAGAGCUCAAAUUUGAAAUCUUCAAGGUUUUACCUUGACGAAUUGUAGUUUAAAGAAGUGUUUUCUGUUGAAGUUUUGGCAAAAGUUCUUUGGAAUAGGACAUCAUAGAGGGUGAGAAUCCCGUAUUUGACCAUUACUUUCAGCUUUGUGAUACACUUUCAAAGAGUCGGAUUGUUUGGGAAUGCAGUCCAAAAUGGGUGGUAAAUUUCAUCUAAAGCUAAAUAUUGGCGAGAGACCGAUAGCGAACAAGUACCGUGAGGGAAAGAUGAAAAGAACUUUGAAAAGAGAGUUAAACAGUACGUGAAAUUGUCAAAAGGGAAGCGUUUGACACCAGUGUUGUUUUCUCGAAAAUCAAUUAAAAAGAGUUGGAUUUUGUGUUGUAUUGACUUUAUCAGCUUUCUUCACUCUUUUCCAGUUUUUUUUAAUGCACUUUUCGUUUAACAAGUCAACAUCAGUUUCCUUUGUUGUAAAAAGGUCAUUGGAAGGUGGCUUUCUCUUCGGAGAAAGUGUUUAUAGCCUUUGACUCAUGCAAUCGGAGAGACUGAGGUCUGCAGCGUAGAUCCUUCGGGGUUAGAUACAUUUGUGCUAAGUUAUAGCUUUUCAUAGACAACUUGUUGACUAUGUUUAGUCUUGUAGCUUACUCGCUUAUGCUAUUUUACCUACGCUUAGGAUGUUGAACUCUAUCACACACAG